AGUGAACGCUGGCGGUAGGCCUAACACAUGCAAGUCGAACGGCAGCACAGUAAGAGCUUGCUCUUACGGGUGGCGAGUGGCGGACGGGUGAGGAAUACAUCGGAAUCUACUUUUUCGUGGGGGAUAACGUAGGGAAACUUACGCUAAUACCGCAUACGACCUACGGGUGAAAGCAGGGGAUCUUCGGACCUUGCGCGAUUGAAUGAGCCGAUGUCGGAUUAGCUAGUUGGCGGGGUAAAGGCCCACCAAGGCGACGAUCCGUAGCUAGUCUGAGAGGAUGAUCAGCCACACUGGAACUGAGACACGGUCCAGACUCCUACGGGAGGCAGCAGUGGGGAAUAUUGGACAAUGGGCGCAAGCCUGAUCCAGCCAUACCGCGUGAGUGAAGAAGGCCUUCGGGUUGUAAAGCCCUUUUGUUGGGAAAGAAAAGCAGCAGGUUAAUACCCCGCUGUUCUGACGGUACCCAAAGAAUAAGCACCGGCUAACUUCGUG
RNAcentral lists this ribosomal RNA (492 nucleotides) under uncultured bacterium. Its description in RNAcentral is "partial 16S ribosomal RNA". It matches the Rfam family "Bacterial small subunit ribosomal RNA", at positions 29 to 507 of the family's 1533-position model. The record is from RNAcentral.